AUUGAACGCUGGCGGUAUGCUUAACACAUGCAAGUCGAACGGCAGCAUGGUCUAGCUUGCUAGACUGAUGGCGAGUGGCGGACGGGUGAGUAACGCGUAGGAAUAUGCCUUGAAGAGUGGGACAACUUGGGGAAACUCAAGCUAAUACCGCAUGUACUCGAGAGAGUUAAGCUGGGGACCUUUAGGCCUGGCGCUUUAAGAUUAGCCUGCGUCCGAUUAGCUAGUUGGUAGGGUAAAGGCCUACCAAGGCGACGAUCGGUAGCUGGUCUGGGAGGAUGAUCAGCCACACUGGAACUGAGAGACGGUCCAGACUCCUACGGGAGGCAGCAGUGGGGAAUAUUGGACAAUGGGGGGAACCCUGAUCCAGCAAUGCCGCGUGUGUGAAGAAGGCCUGAGGGUUGUAAAGCACUUUCGGUGGGGAGGAGGUUUGGAAGGUUAAGAGCUAUUCAAAUGGACGUUACCCACAGAAGAAGCACCGGCUAACUCCGUGCCAGCAGCCGCCGUAA
This 506-nucleotide ribosomal RNA is filed under the name uncultured bacterium. Its description in RNAcentral is "partial 16S ribosomal RNA". It matches the Rfam family "Bacterial small subunit ribosomal RNA", at positions 30 to 523 of the family's 1533-position model. The record is from RNAcentral.